UAUAAAACAGCUGAGCAUCUUUUGUUGCAUUUGUACUCCAGUGAAGUUGAGACUCCUGCAUAGACCACUGAGAGCCAUAGGCAAAGUCUGUCCUUAGGUGAACCUACUCCAGUUGAUGCUGCAAGCAGUUCUUUCCAUAUGAAAGUAGCUCUUUGGAACAGAGAAACAAUAUGCCUUCAAGAACUAGAUACGGCAACUCAUAAACGAAUAAUAUAACUUUGACUGAUGCUCAUUGUUACCCUAAGAGAAUGACUGGGUGGCUUUACAGCAUAAACUGUUUGAUUAGGCAGCAGAAGAAUGUGGCAGUGGGGAAUACAAAGCCUGGUUCCCCUUGUUGCAAUAAAUCGUUUAUGAUCACUGCUGUGGAGGAAGGAUUGUUCCCUCACAUUUACCACAGACACGGGAAAGAUGGCGGAGAAAGGCAAUUUAUACAUUGAUUUGCUCCCCAUUUCUGCUGAUGAUUCAAUGUUACUUUGGGCAGAUCCCAUGGAGACUGUUCUGAAGUUUGCUCCUGGUCUGCCAGUAGCUGACAAAGUAGAAAGGUGUGCUUUUCUCUCUUUCCUGUAUAGAUUUAGAGGCAUUGCCAAUUUAAUCCGCGACUGAGGCUCUGCAAUGGUGCAAGUCUAUCCUACUACUUCAAAUUCAAUGAUGCAACCUGAGUUUACGCUAAUUAACUUUCAGGGAUUGAACCAAUGUAAAGCUUUAGGACUCUGACACUUCUUUGAAAACAUUCCCACAGAUUGAUUUUCUUCAUUUACAUUUGUUUGCUAUCUCCGUCUCAUUCAAAGCAGUCAGGCCUGGUUUGCUUCUCUCUUCUCUGGAAAAGUUCUCUGAAGUAGGAACUAUUGUUAGAAUCAGAAUCCUGAUCUAAGAGUAUUGUAAGAAAUGCUCCAGCAAUUUCUGUCAAUAGAGGGCUUGAAGGGUAAGCCCUGAGUCUCUGAUAUCUGGGGAUAAGAGAACAAAGGGGUCUCAGAAUAACUGCUAACUAUUGUGACUAUUGCAUUGGACACCAGGCAAGUCUCUGAUAUCCAGCCAAGAUGGACAAAGGACAAGGACAAAGCCUGGGAGGAAGACUAUGAGCCUUCAGCAUGAGAAACCCCCAGAGGGACUACCGGGGACUGAUACGUAUGCGCCAGUGGGAGGGUUUGGAGUCCGGGAACUAAUUAUAAUAACCCUGCCUUUUCUAGAAGUAGUAAUGAAUAUGUAUUAGACUAGAAGCAUAAAAAGCAGCCACCUGAUGUAACGUGUGUGCGUGUUGGAGGAGCCCAGGCUCCCUGCACACCCAGCGCUCUUUACUUGCCUUUUAUUAAUCCCAUAAAUAAAUCUUAUAAAGCUAAGUUGACUUGGAAUUUGUAACAGCAUGAUGAAAAAUGUUGCACUCCAAGUUGGAAACUGGAGAGGAAAAUGUACAUGUAUACGUGAGAACUGUACUCAAACAUCUGAUUACACCUUUUCUUACACCUUAAUAGAGGUUUACACCUUUUAAGGGAAAACUUUAAACCUGAGAAGCAACAGACUGUUUUCUACGUUUCCUGAUAUGAUAUCAUGAUACAGUCCACUGCAGGCUGAAAAGUAGCCUGUGUCUCAGGUACCGUUUUAUGCCUUUGCUUUUGUUACUACAUGCUUGUAAGUCUUCAAAAGGGAAAUGAAAUUAUCCUACC
This is a long non-coding RNA of Anas platyrhynchos (mallard), 1661 nucleotides long. RefSeq lists it as uncharacterized. NCBI's taxonomy places the organism in Eukaryota, Metazoa, Chordata, Aves, Anseriformes, Anatidae. The record is from RefSeq and is a predicted model, not a curated record.